UUGGUAUGGAAACCUACUAAGUGAGAACUUUCAAAUUCAGAGAAACCCUGGAAUUAAAAAUGGGCAAUCCUGAGCCAAAUCCUGUUUUCAUAAAAAGGUGGUUCAGAAAGAAAAAAAAAAAAAAGGAUAGGUGCAGAGACUCAAUGGAAGCUGUUCUAACGAAUAGGGUUGACUGCGUUGGUCGAGGAUCUUUCUAUCGAAACUCCGGAAAGGAUGAACCUAUAUACGUACGUAUUUGUACUGAAAUAGCAAAAAUUAAUGAGAUCCGAAUCCAUUUUUUAUUUUAUAUGUAUAUGAAAAAUUUAAAAUGGAUUGUGAAUCGAUUCCAAAUGGAAGGAAGAAUCGAAUAUUCGCCGAUCAAAUCAGUCACUCUAUGGUCUGAUAGUUCUUUUGAAGAACUAACUUAUUGGACGAGAGUAAAGAUAGAGUCCCGUUCUACAUGUCAAUACCGACAACAAUGAAAUUUAUAGUAAGAGGAAAAUCCGUCGACUUUAGAAAUCGUGAGGGUUCAAGUCCCUCUAUCCCCAAAAAAGAUCGGUUUUCCUUUCUAACUAUCUUUU
RNAcentral lists this non-coding RNA (560 nucleotides) under Berberis japonica. RNAcentral describes it as "partial transfer RNA-Leu". The stretch from base 1 to 452 matches the Rfam family "Group I catalytic intron", at positions 27 to 253 of the family's 253-position model. Rfam says of the family: Group I catalytic introns are large self-splicing ribozymes. They catalyse their own excision from mRNA, tRNA and rRNA precursors in a wide range of organisms. The core secondary structure consists of 9 paired regions (P1-P9). The record is from RNAcentral. Lineage: Eukaryota; Viridiplantae; Streptophyta; Magnoliopsida; Ranunculales; Berberidaceae.